CUAAUGCAUGCAAGUCGAACGGGCGAAGGGACUUCGGUCCCCUAGCUAGUGGCAGACGGCUGAGUAACACGUAAAUGAUCUGCCCCGAAGUGAGGGACAACCCCGAGAAAUCGGGCCUAAUACCUCGUAAGUUCAUUGGAUCACGGUCCAGUGAAGAAAGGUUUCGGCCACUUUGGGAGGAGUUUGCGGCCUAUCAGGUAGUUGGUGGGGUAAUAGCCUACCAAGCCGAAGACGGGUAACCGGUGUGAGAGCACGAUCGGUCAGAGGGGGACUGAGACACGGCCCCCACUCCUACGGGAGGCAGCAGCAGGGAAUCUUGCACAAUGGACGAAAGUCUGAUGCAGCGACACCGCGUGAGGGAAGAAGGCCUUCGGGUUGUAAACCUCUUUUAUCAGGGAAGAGUAAGGACUGUACCUGACGAAUAAGAACCGGCUAACUACGUGCCAGCAGCCGCGGUAAUACGUAGGGUUCAAACGUUGUCCGGAAUUACUGGGCGUAAAGAGCGCGUAGGCGGUCUGUUAAGUCUCAUGUGAAAUCUCCCGGCUCAACUGGGAGGGGUCAUGGGAAACUGGCAGGCUUGAGGGUAGCAGAGGAAAGCGGAAUUCCCGGAGUAGUGGUGAAAUGCGUAGAUACCGGGAGGAACACCAGAGGCGAAGGCGGCUUUCUGGGCUAUUCCUGACGCUGAGGCGCGAAAGCGUGGGGAGCAAACCGGAUUAGAUACCCGGGUAGUCCACGCCCUAAACGAUGGAUACUAGAUAUGGGGGGUAUCGACCCCUCCCGUGUCGCAGCUAAC
Molecule: ribosomal RNA, 793 nt
Filed under: uncultured bacterium
Lineage: Bacteria
Description: bacterial SSU rRNA
Rfam family: Bacterial small subunit ribosomal RNA
Source: RNAcentral